AGCACAUGCCUGCUGACCUUCGUGGAGCCUGACCAGUGGGGGAAGUGUGAAGGAGACAGACAGGAUUCAGGCUUCUUGGGGCAGGUGUUUCUUCCAUGAGAGAUACGUGGGGAUGAAUUGCUGGGGAAUCCUUUCCAGUUUCCAGGAUACCUCUUCUUAUAUAUGGGGUCCACAAGUUGGCUGCUGUCCUGUCUUCUCUCACUAGGGUCUCAAGCUACCUGUCUGCUGAGCUGCAUGCUGUGGGCAUCAGAAAAAAACGUACAGGCCCUCUGCAGCCACCCAUGGAAACAGAAGAGAUUGCAUGCAGAGAUAGAGACACCAAGCUUUCGCCCUGUUCCUGGUGCAAACUGUCCAACAGCAUCCACUGAGCUGUGCUCUUCACAGGGGAUGCUCUCCCACAUCCUGCAGUGAGGCCUCCCCUUCUCUCCUGGCCAGCCUUCCUGACUUGUUUGCAUCCCUCUGAGAACAUCCCUGCAGCAGUUACCAGAUGGAUAAGCCUCCCUUUCUGGAUCUCGCCUAGUGUUCUUGCCUGUUAACUGUGGGACCCCACAUCAAGGGAGUCUUUCAAAAAUUAUACCCUUAUUUCAAAACAAA
This 594-nucleotide long non-coding RNA is filed under the name Mus musculus (house mouse). Its description in RNAcentral is "predicted gene 44507". Lineage: Eukaryota; Metazoa; Chordata; Mammalia; Rodentia; Muridae. The record is from RNAcentral.